RNAcentral lists this long non-coding RNA (768 nucleotides) under Homo sapiens (human). RNAcentral describes it as "prostate cancer associated transcript 19". The record is from RNAcentral. Lineage: Eukaryota; Metazoa; Chordata; Mammalia; Primates; Hominidae.
GUUAUUUGGCUGGAGUGAGGUCUCAUGUCUGCUUAUGCGGUGGCUCGCUGCUCAGAACAGGCCUAGCUAGAUGCCUGGAAUUUCCCUUGAAGGAAGUCAAGAUUUUCCUUUAUCUCCAUACUGGCUGAUGGUGAUCGAGUAAGCCCCUAAGAGGGGUCCCUGCUCCAUCUCGAGAUGCUGCUAGAUUCUACAGUGCCUAAUAAACAGCUCUCGCCUGGCCGACAAAGAGCUGCUUGCUCUCUGGAUAGCAAUUCCAAAGUGAACAGACAACAUCCUGUUUGGAAGACUGCCACUCUGUUAGAAGAAGCAUCAGGAAAACCUUUCUUUUGAGCUAUUUAUAACUAACAGCAAUUGACCAAGUAUACUUUUGUGAGUGAAACUGACCUUUCUCCCUGAACCAUUGGAGAUACUCAUUACUCUUUGAAGGCUUACAGUGGAAUGAAUUCAAAUACGACUUAUUUGAGGAAUUGAAGUUGACUUUAUGGAGCUGAUAAGAAUCUUCUUGGAGAAAAAAAGACUGGUACUUCUGAAUUAACCAAAAUCACAGUAUUCUGAAGAUGAUUCUACAAAGCCUGCUGUUUCUACAAAGGCUGCUGAUGAUUUCUACAAAGCCUGCUGUAGUGUUGCUGUGGCCUCUGCUUAAAAAAGUAGAAAACACAUUGAUGCAGCAUGUUCACCCCAACCUCCCUGCCUAAAGGCUCAGGGACCAUCUUGGAAGAGGAAGGCGCGUGAGAUUGUAAGAGCCGAAUUAGGGGGAUGGAGUGUGGA